Molecule: long non-coding RNA, 351 nt
Filed under: Pan troglodytes (chimpanzee)
Lineage: Eukaryota; Metazoa; Chordata; Mammalia; Primates; Hominidae
Description: long non-coding RNA NONPTRT005501
Source: RNAcentral
AAAAAAAACCACGAAAAAAGAAAUAUGAUUGGACCAGAAGGCCAAUAACCUGAGUGGGGAAACCCAGCAAGUCCUGUCCGUGUAGAUUCUUCUUGACCUUUCUCUGCAGCAUUCCUUCCUUCUGAGUACGGGGCAGGACUCUCUCUGGGAUGGAGGGGUCUUAGGACCUGCAAGUAAACAAGAGGCAGUAGUAGAAGCCAUGAGUCUGAUAAGUUUGCUGAAGGAGAGAGUGUGCUGUGAGGACGGAUCGUUGACAAGACCCUGGAGGACACAAGGACCUAAGAGCCCCUAAGAGGAGACAGAGAAGGUGCUGUCCCACAAAGUGCAAGAUGUCCCAGGAGAGAGGUGUCC